Long non-coding RNA from Daphnia pulicaria, 947 nucleotides. RefSeq lists it as uncharacterized. The transcript has 2 exons. The record is from RefSeq and is a predicted model, not a curated record. Lineage: Eukaryota; Metazoa; Arthropoda; Branchiopoda; Diplostraca; Daphniidae.
GUGGCCAUCUAGGAGCCAUUUCGGAAACUAGGUUUAAUAAUGGUCGAAAAAAUUGAGCUUCACAAAAAACUGGCAACACUGCUUCCGUUUUUUUCACAAAAGUUCGUCUGCAAUCUGCGUCAUCAAUCUGACAGCCAUUGACAGAGUAUUCUUCAAAUUCUUCAAUCACAUUGACAUAGUGAGUGACGUCGUUCAUCUCGAGCCUUUCUCGAACCUUGAACCACGAAUACUGUGAAGCUGCCAACUCAUCAUAUCAUGGGUUUCACUCAGCCAUAAUUGAAUUUUUUGAUUAUAGUAACUUGGCCCGGUUAGGCCUAUCCCUAGUGUCCCGUCCCUCUACACGUCCCUAUACUGGUUGAAACAAAUCAGCCAGAUAAAGGAAUUUUGAUACAGCCCAGGAUUCCCAGAUCACAUUGGCGCAAGAAGUAAGGCAUGAAUUAUUUCGCCAGCAUUGGGUUUUCAAUCGCUCCUUGCUGAAAAAGAAGUGAGUGUUGCUAGAAGUUUUUUUUGUGUGCAUCUCCAAUGGGACAAAUGUUACACACUCGAAUUCAUCAACAACCAGUCUGAGCCUUCCAAAAGGCAAAAAUUGUGUGACUGUUGAAGUUUUCUAGAAACUUUGUUAGCAUAAAGAACAGAGGUACUGUACCUGAUGAAUGUAAAUGUAACUAAAACCAUAUCAGGCAACAAAAUAUGUCUGUCUGAAGGAAAAUGCUAGCCAGUGAGAAGAAUGUUAAUAUUGGUGUAAAAAAUAUCAGUGAUGCGGCAUGUUUUGAUUUUCAGCUGUCAAUUUUUUAAAAGAGGUUGCUGGCGUAGGACAUUUAGAAAUCUAAUUCUUGGCUUCUAAAAGGUUUACGUGAUUGUUUUGUUCAAUGCCGAGCCAACUUAUAAAGUUUGAUUUAUGGUUCUAUUACGGUACGUGAUUCAAUAUAUUAAUUUCGGUCUUCUUA